AACCAUUAGCUAGUAGUCCACAUUUAGUUCUCAAAAUAGAAAAUAAGUUAAAAAAUAAAUAAAUAAAUAAAAAAAAACCAAACCCCAUCAUCCUCAACAGGUCACUCCACCCUCAUUUCCUCAACACCUCAACUCUUCCUCAACUCCUCAACGCCUCAACUCCGUAUUCUUCUCCAAACCCGCGAAAUUGUAAAUUAUUUUUGGCUCCAAAUUUUUUUGAUCAUGAAUAAGCAGUUACUCCACUUUUCAGUUGUUGAUCUGUUCUCAUUAUACAACACACUCAUCAUCUUAAAAUCAUCAUAUCCCCCAAUCGGUUACUCUACUUACUCACCUCCUUUCUUUCUACUUAGUUGGAUUUGAUGCCGGCGAAAUCGUUGUUGUAUUCUGAAUUUCAUGUCGAAUUAACUUACAAACGAAUUCACUAAUGGUAGCUAGUGGGGUUGCUUACACUAUGUGUGGGUUAUAUGCAUCUGCACUAAUUUUCCCACCUCUCGACUAAGCUUGGAGCUAUAAGAGGUUCUGGUGAUGAGCAUCAAACUCAUGAACCAAGAAAGUCAGGAUAUGAGAGGCUGAGAAUGGAAACAAUUAGAAAAAAUAUGACAAGAAUGGAAGAAUUAGGUUUGAAGGAACAUGCUAAGUCACUGAUGGCGCAAGUUCAAAAUAAUAGAGGCAAUCAAAGUAAGAAUAAAAAGAAAAAGGUUUCGGGAGACGAUGAGCUCUAUAGGCCUAACCAAGAUAUGGAGCAUGAGCUUGAUUCCACCGAUGAAGAGUUACCCAUUCCACAGUCUAAAAGUAAAGACAAGUCCAAUGCUAUUCAAUGGAAGCUGAAAAGGAUAAGCCUAGAAGAGGACCCACUAUGUGCUACAAAGUCCAUGGAUGCACCGAAGAAGAACGCUUGGAAAUUACCUUGAAUGAGCAUGGACAACCUGUUGGUCCGGAUGACAGUACAUGCAAUGAGUUCAUUAGCUUCUUAGGAACAAUAGCUCGAAAAGCAAAUAUCCUACCACUGACUGUCAAGAAUUGGCCCAUACUAAGGAACGAGAAGAAAGAAGAACUUUGGGAUUAUGUCUUGAAACAUUUUAUUGUCCCAAUUGAGGGAAAAAAAUGGGUUUUGCAAACCAUUGGUGCUGCUUGGAGAAGGUACAAAUGUUAUUUAAAAAGAGUACACUUUCAUAAAUAUGAAAUGAUAAAACAAGGAUGAUCAAACGACCAAAACUAGUCCCAAAAAAUAUGUUCCAAGACUUGUUAAAGAUUUGGAAUGAUGUCAAAUAUGAGGAACGAUGUAUGAAAAUAAAGCAAAUCGAUUAGUUGGAAAGGAAAAAUACAUUAUGCAUACUCCAGGACCAAAGAGUUUUGCUAGGGUUCGAUGUUAGUGGAAAAAGGAUAAUAAAACAACAAAAAAUCCUAGUUUAGCUCAAAUGUUCAUAGCAACACGCAAGGAGAAGCUAACAAAGCGAAAGUCUGGUGACCUAAGGGACAAAUUAAUGACUGAACUUGAGAAAUUAGAUUCAGAGGAGGAGGUUGAAAGUGUGAUUUCAACUAUUAUUGGUUCUGAUAACAAGAAAAAGUCUCGAUUAAAAUUUCAUGGAAGAGAUGUUUCAUCAACUUAAUUAAAGCAGAAGGCCUUGAUGAAGGAAGCUAUAGAGAAGCAUGCUAAGGAGGUUCAAGCUCUACAAAAAGAUUAUGAGGACAAAAGGCAACACAAGAUAGAAGGGAGAUAGCAUAUGGUCUUAGCUCCAUCCUUUCUCAAAUUCAACAACAAAAUCCAGAAAUGUCUUUUGAUUUAAGUAUGCUUGGCUCUUUAUUUCUUGAUAAUCAAUCUGAGAAGGAUGGUGGUAGUACAACAGAAAUGCUUCGAUUUCAAUCUUCGGCUUCUACAUCCAAGGGAGAUGAACAAGAAGAAGAUGAAGAAGGUUGCGAGUAAGAAGAAGAAGAAUAUGACUUUAUGGCUCAAUUUGAAGUUGCUUUAACCUUUUAUUAUUUCUUCUAUUUUUUAGUUAGACUAAUAUUAUGGCCUACAACAUUCUAUUAAACAAUAGAUUAUUUAGAUAGAUUUGAUGUUGAAAACAAGUUGAUAUUGUUUUGGUUGUAUUGUUUUACUAAUUAAUUUUAUAAGUUUGGGAUUAUGUAGUCAAAUGCUUAUUACAUGUUUUAAUGUUCAACAUUUUUCUAAUAUAACAAAUUCAAAAUAGUA
Chenopodium quinoa (quinoa) is the source of this 2194-nucleotide long non-coding RNA. RefSeq lists it as uncharacterized. The record is from RefSeq and is a predicted model, not a curated record. The transcript has 9 exons. Lineage: Eukaryota; Viridiplantae; Streptophyta; Magnoliopsida; Caryophyllales; Amaranthaceae.